GAUGAACGCUGGCGGCGUGCCUAAUACAUGCAAGUCGAGCGCCGAAGCGUGGUACUUGUUCCCACCGGGUGAGCAGCGAACGGGUGAGUAACGCGUGGGUAACCUGCCUUUGAGCGGGGGACAACAUAUGGAAACGUAAGAUAAUACCGCAUAAAAACUUUAAACACAAGGAUCAAGAUUGAAAGAUGCAUUUGCAUCACCCAAAGCUGAUCCGACGUUGUAUUAGGUAGUUGGUUAGGUAAAGGCCCACCAAGGCGACGACCCGUAGCCGGCCUGAGAGGAGGACCGGCCAAACUGGGACGGAGACACGGCCCAGACUCCUACGGGAGGCAGAAGUGGGGAAUUUUGGACAAUGGGGGAAAGCCUGACGCAGCAAGGCCGCGUGGGGGAGGAAGGUCUUCGGGUGGUAAAACGCGUUUGUUGGGGAAGAAAUAGUUUGGGGUAAAACACUGAUGGGAUGACGGUACCGAAACAGAAAGCAACGGCUAACUACGUG
RNAcentral lists this ribosomal RNA (496 nucleotides) under uncultured bacterium. RNAcentral's name for it is "partial 16S ribosomal RNA". It matches the Rfam family "Bacterial small subunit ribosomal RNA", at positions 28 to 507 of the family's 1533-position model. The record is from RNAcentral.